UACGUAGGGGCCGAGCGUUGUCCGGAGUUAUUGGGCGUAAAGCGCGCGCAGGCGGCUUCGCGCGCCCGCCGUGAAAGCCCCCGGCUUAACCGGGGAGAGUCGGUGGGGACGGCGGAGCUUGAGGGCGGGAGAGGUCGGUGGAAUUCCCGGUGUAGUGGUGGAAUGCGUAGAGAUCGGGAGGAACACCUGUGGCGAAGGCGGCCGACUGGGCCGACCCUGACGCUGAGGCGCGAAGGCGUGGGGAGCAAACAGG
RNAcentral lists this ribosomal RNA (253 nucleotides) under uncultured bacterium. RNAcentral describes it as "partial 16S ribosomal RNA". It matches the Rfam family "Bacterial small subunit ribosomal RNA", at positions 524 to 776 of the family's 1533-position model. The record is from RNAcentral.